CCUUAUUGAUGUUUCUCCAGGCCUGUGUGGCCUUUUUCUUUGCUGCCUAGUGGUAGUCUCUUCUGUUUUGUUUAGUUAUUAUUUGUUGUUUUUCCGCAUUUUGUCCUCUUUGAGGUUUGAUACCAGUUUCUCAACCUCCCUUGUUGUGGGAAGGUCUGUUGUGGUCUAAUCAAUGAAAUUCAGUGUUAAAAAAAAAAUGCGCUGUAUAUUAAAGCUUAUACUCAUGAAUGUUGUUUAAAAAUUCUUAACUACUUUAUACAUUUUUAUUAAUGUGUGUUAAACUAUCUUUCAUGGUACAUAAGCAUUAUUCUAACUUUUUAACAAUUAAGUUACUAAAACUUCGUAUACUGCCUACAUUAAGACUUGCCUCAUGUUCCCUCUCAAUAAUGUCCCCUGCUCCACAAAAACUCUUACCUCCUUUCCAGGCAUAAUUU
This 434-nucleotide long non-coding RNA is filed under the name Brassica napus (rape). RNAcentral describes it as "long non-coding RNA (BNAP_LNC000855)". Lineage: Eukaryota; Viridiplantae; Streptophyta; Magnoliopsida; Brassicales; Brassicaceae. The record is from RNAcentral.